RNAcentral lists this ribosomal RNA (924 nucleotides) under Staphylococcus sp. C2I22. Its description in RNAcentral is "bacterial SSU rRNA". It matches the Rfam family "Bacterial small subunit ribosomal RNA", at positions 97 to 1009 of the family's 1533-position model. The record is from RNAcentral. Lineage: Bacteria; Bacillati; Bacillota; Bacilli; Caryophanales; Staphylococcaceae.
GGCGGACGGGUGAGUAACACGUGGAUAACCUACCUAUAAGACUGGGAUAACUUCGGGAAACCGGAGCUAAUACCGGAUAACAUAUUGAACCGCAUGGUUCAAUAGUGAAAGGCGGCUUUGCUGUCACUUAUAGAUGGAUCCGCGCCGUAUUAGCUAGUUGGUAAGGUAACGGCUUACCAAGGCAACGAUACGUACCCGACCUGAGAGGGUGAUCGGCCACACUGGAACUGAAACACGGUCCAGACUCCUACGGGAGGCAGCAGUAGGGAAUCUUCCGCAAUGGGCGAAAGCCUGACGGAGCAACGCCGCGUGAGUGAUGAAGGUCUUCGGAUCGUAAAACUCUGUUAUCAGGGAAGAACAAAUGUGUAAGUAACUGUGCACAUCUUGACGGUACCUGAUCAGAAAGCCACGGCUAACUACGUGCCAGCAGCCGCGGUAAUACGUAGGUGGCAAGCGUUAUCCGGAAUUAUUGGGCGUAAAGCGCGCGUAGGCGGUUUUUUAAGUCUGAUGUGAAAGCCCACGGCUCAACCGUGGAGGGUCAUUGGAAACUGGAAAACUUGAGUGCAGAAGAGGAAAGUGGAAUUCCAUGUGUAGCGGUGAAAUGCGCAGAGAUAUGGAGGAACACCAGUGGCGAAGGCGACUUUCUGGUCUGUAACUGACGCUGAUGUGCGAAAGCGUGGGGAUCAAACAGGAUUAGAUACCCUGGUAGUCCACGCCGUAAACGAUGAGUGCUAAGUGUUAGGGGGUUUCCGCCCCUUAGUGCUGCAGCUAACGCAUUAAGCACUCCGCCUGGGGAGUACGACCGCAAGGUUGAAACUCAAAGGAAUUGACGGGGACCCGCACAAGCGGUGGAGCAUGUGGUUUAAUUUGAAGCAACGCGAAGAACCUUACCAAAUCUUGACAUCCUUUGUCCGCUCUAGAGAG